This 428-nucleotide ribosomal RNA is filed under the name uncultured bacterium. RNAcentral's name for it is "partial 16S ribosomal RNA". It matches the Rfam family "Bacterial small subunit ribosomal RNA", at positions 354 to 796 of the family's 1533-position model. The record is from RNAcentral.
GUGGGGAAUAUUGGGCAAUGGGCGAAAGCCUGACCCAGCAACGCCGCGUGAAGGAAGAAGGCUUUCGGGUUGUAAACUUCUUUUGUCAGGGACGAAAAAAAUGACGGUACCUGACGAAUAAGCCACGGCUAACUACGUGCCAGCAGCCGCGGUAAUACGUAGGUGGCAAGCGUUAUCCGGAUUUACUGGGUGUAAAGGGCGUGUAGGCGGGAAAGCAAGUCAGAUGUGAAAACUAUGGGCUCAACCCAUAGCCUGCAUUUGAAACUGUUUUUCUUGAGUACUGGAGAGGCAGAUGGAAUUCCUAGUGUAGCGGUGAAAUGCGUAGAUAUUAGGAGGAACACCAGUGGCGAAGGCGAUCUGCUGGACAGCAACUGACGCUGAGGCGCGAAAGCGUGGGGAGCAAACAGGAUUAGAAACCCCGGUAGUCC